RNAcentral lists this transfer-messenger RNA (377 nucleotides) under Mycobacteriaceae. RNAcentral describes it as "Corynebacterium sp012838715 Standard tmRNA". It matches the Rfam family "transfer-messenger RNA". From Rfam's summary of the family: Bacterial tmRNA, also known as 10Sa RNA or SsrA, is named for its dual tRNA and mRNA-like properties. Its role is to liberate the mRNA from a stalled ribosome. RNAcentral also lists the same sequence under 1 other name. Lineage: Bacteria; Bacillati; Actinomycetota; Actinomycetes; Mycobacteriales. The record is from RNAcentral.
GGGGCCGACAUGGUUUCGACUCCGUACAGUGAGCCAGGGGAAGCGUGCCGGUGCAGGCUGGAGACCACCGUAAGCGUCGCAGCAACCCAAUAAGCGCCGAGAACACUCAGCGCGACUACGCCCUCGCUGCCUAAGCAGCGACCGCGUGUCUGUCAGACCGGGCAGGCCUCUGGCCCGGACCCUGGCAUCGUUUAAUGGGGCUCGCUCGCCGGAUGGGCCGCAAGGUCCGGCGGGGACACCUACUUGCGGCUGGGCCCGUCAUCCGGUCAUCGUUUGCCUGAACCGGAGGGCCGAGCAGAGACCCCGCGCAAACUGCGCACGGAGAAGCCCUGGCGAGUUGGCGGAGGACCCGGGUUCAAUUCCCGGCGGCUCCACAA